UACUACUGACUGACCGAUAGUGAACCAGUACCGUGAGGGAAAGGCGAAAAGAACCCCUGUGAGGGGAGUGAAAUAGAACCUGAAACCGUGUACGUACAAGCAGUAGGAGCAGGCUUUGUCCUGUGACUGCGUACCUUUUGUAUAAUGGGUCAGCGACUUAUAUUCAGUGGCAAGGUUAACCAUCUAGGGGAGCCGUAGGGAAACCGAGUCUUAACUGGGCGUUCAGUCUCUG
This 232-nucleotide ribosomal RNA is filed under the name Vibrio parahaemolyticus. RNAcentral describes it as "partial 23S ribosomal RNA". It matches the Rfam family "Bacterial large subunit ribosomal RNA", at positions 471 to 705 of the family's 2925-position model. The record is from RNAcentral. Lineage: Bacteria; Pseudomonadati; Pseudomonadota; Gammaproteobacteria; Vibrionales; Vibrionaceae.